This is a long non-coding RNA of Ruditapes philippinarum (Manila clam), 483 nucleotides long. RefSeq lists it as uncharacterized. Lineage: Eukaryota; Metazoa; Mollusca; Bivalvia; Venerida; Veneridae. The record is from RefSeq and is a predicted model, not a curated record. The transcript is spliced from 3 exons.
AAGGGACUUAUGAUAUUCACACAUAACAUCCCAGAAUUUUGUUAUUCUACGUUGUUACAAGUACUUCAACGGAAUGGCUAAGCUAUUGAUGCUGUUAUUGCUAGUGGGAUUUUUGGCGAUAACAAUUCUGCCUGAAUUUGCCGAAGCUCAAUAUGGGUGUUAUCCCUUCUGUCCAUAUGGCACUCGUGCCUGUGGGUACUGUAGAAGAUACCCCUACCGGCUUUACAGAUGUUGCAGCGGCGGAGGAGGACACCCAUACGCAUACGCAUACUAGUACUAAAGGAUUUCGUUAAGGACACUUAAACAACAAUUGACCAAUACCAGUGCUACCAACAAAAAGGCACCAGCAAAGAACAAAGAUUACGUUACCAAAAAUAAAAUAAGCAAUUCAUUUGAAACUUUCUGUUUUUUUCUUUAUGUUUCCCCCUCAUCUUACAUAUAAACACAAAUGAAAUGAAAUUUGAUAAUAAAUGUGAUACAUUA